AUUGAACGCUGGCGGCAUGCCUUACACGUGCAAGUCGAACGGUAACAGGUCUUCGGAUGCUGACGAGUGGCGAACGGGUGAGUAAUACAUCGGAACGUGCCCGAUCGUGGGGGAUAACGGAGCGAAAGCUUUGCUAAUACCGCAUACGAUCUACGGAUGAAAGCAGGGGACCGCAAGGCCUUGCGCGGACGGAGCGGCCGAUGGCAGAUUAGGUAGUUGGUGGGAUAAAAGCUUACCAAGCCGACGAUCUGUAGCUGGUCUGAGAGGACGACCAGCCACACUGGGACUGAGACACGGCCCAGACUCCUACGGGAGGCAGCAGCGGGGAAUUUUGGACAAUGGGCGAAAGCCUGAUCCAGCCAUGCCGCGUGCAGGAUGAAGGCCUUCGGGUUGUAAACUGCUUUUGUACGGAACGAAAAGACUCUUUCUAAUAAAGAGGGUCCAUGACGGUACCGUAAGAAUAAGCACCGGCUAACUACGUG
Molecule: ribosomal RNA, 482 nt
Filed under: uncultured bacterium
Lineage: Bacteria
Description: partial 16S ribosomal RNA
Rfam family: Bacterial small subunit ribosomal RNA
Source: RNAcentral